UGGGGAAUUUUGGACAAUGGGCGAAAGCCUGAUCCAGCAAUGCCGCGUGUGUGAAGAAGGCCUUCGGGUUGUAAAGCACUUUUGUCCGGAAAGAAAUCCUUGGCUCUAAUACAGUCGGGGGAUGACGGUACCGGAAGAAUAAGCACCGGCUAACUACGUGCCAGCAGCCGCGGUAAUACGUAGGGUGCAAGCGUUAAUCGGAAUUACUGGGCGUAAAGCGUGCGCAGGCGGUUUGCUAAGACCGAUGUGAAAUCCCCGGGCUCAACCUGGGAACUGCAUUGGUGACUGGCAGGCUAGAGUAUGGCAGAGGGGGGUAGAAUUCCACGUGUAGCAGUGAAAUGCGUAGAGAUGUGGAGGAAUACCGAUGGCGAAGGCAGCCCCCUGGGCCAAAUACUGACGCUCAUGCACGAAAAGCGUGGGGAGCAAAACAGGAUUAGAUACCCUGGUAGUCCACGCCCUAAAACGAUGUCAACUAGUUGUUGGGGAUUCAUUUCCUUAGUAACGUACUAACGCGUGAAGUUGACCGCCUGGGGAGUACGGUCGCAAAGAUUAAAACUUAAAGGAAUUGACGGGGUCAUA
RNAcentral lists this ribosomal RNA (579 nucleotides) under uncultured bacterium. RNAcentral's name for it is "partial 16S ribosomal RNA". It matches the Rfam family "Bacterial small subunit ribosomal RNA", at positions 355 to 923 of the family's 1533-position model. The record is from RNAcentral.